AUUGAACGCUGGCGGCAUGCUUUACACAUGCAAGUCGAACGGUAACACGCCGCAAGUUGCUGACUAGUGUCGAACGCGUGAGUAAUGCAUCCGAAUGUGCCCAGUCGUUGUGGAUCACUACUCGCUAGAGUAGCUAAUACCUCAUACGAGCUAUGGAUGAGAACGGGGUACCUUAAAGCUUCGCGCGAUUCUUGCGGCCGAUGACAGAUUAGGUAGUUGGUGGGGUAAAGGCUCACCAAGGCAACGAUCUGUAGCUGGUCUGAGAGGACGACCAGCCACACUGGGACUGAGACACGGCCCAGACUCCUACGGGAGGCAGCAGUGGGGAAUUUUGGACAAUGGGCGCAAGCCUGAUGCAGCAAUGCCGCGUGCAGGAAGAAGGCCUUCGGGUUGUAAACUGCUUUUGUACGGAACGAAACGGCUCUGGUUAAUACCCGGGGCUAAUGACGGUACCGUAUGAAUAAGCACCGGCUAACUACGUG
This 482-nucleotide ribosomal RNA is filed under the name uncultured bacterium. RNAcentral's name for it is "partial 16S ribosomal RNA". It matches the Rfam family "Bacterial small subunit ribosomal RNA", at positions 30 to 507 of the family's 1533-position model. The record is from RNAcentral.